GUUCAUACCGUGCGGUGACCUCACCCAAUGACAGAAGGGGUAGCGAGGCACGCAUCGUGUUGUUGCCAUCAAGGGUAAAAAGAUGGGGUUUACAUCAUUGAUUUGAGUCUAUCCCUCUACAUCAUGCCAUCUUGCUUAAGGCGUUACUCUGUUCGUCAUGAACUCAAUACACUAGAUGCAUGAUGGAUAGCGGUCAAUGUGUGGAGUAAUAGUAGUAGAUGCAGAAAGUAUCGGUCUACUUGUCUCGGACGUGAUGCCUAUAUGUAUGAUCAUUGCCUUAGAUAUCGUCAUGACUUUGCGCGGUUCUAUCAAUUGCUCGACAAUAAUUUGUUCACCCACCGUAAUAUUUGCUAUUCUGAGAGAAGCCUCUAGUGAACACUAUGGCCCCCGGGUCUACUUCAC
RNAcentral lists this long non-coding RNA (402 nucleotides) under Hordeum vulgare. RNAcentral describes it as "long non-coding RNA (HVUL_LNC004981)". Lineage: Eukaryota; Viridiplantae; Streptophyta; Magnoliopsida; Poales; Poaceae. The record is from RNAcentral.